AACUACUUACUCCCUAAUGGCCAGGA
RNAcentral lists this non-coding RNA (26 nucleotides) under Rattus norvegicus (Norway rat). Lineage: Eukaryota; Metazoa; Chordata; Mammalia; Rodentia; Muridae. The record is from RNAcentral.